This 253-nucleotide ribosomal RNA is filed under the name uncultured bacterium. RNAcentral describes it as "partial 16S ribosomal RNA". It matches the Rfam family "Bacterial small subunit ribosomal RNA", at positions 524 to 776 of the family's 1533-position model. The record is from RNAcentral.
UACGGAGGUGGCAAGCGUUGUUCGGAAUUACUGGGCGUAAAGGGCUCGUAGGCGGCCAACUAAGUCGGACGUGAAAUCCCUCGGCUUAACCGGGGAACUGCGUCCGAUACUGGAUGGCUUGAGUUUGGGAGAGGGAUGCGGAAUUCCAGGUGUAGCGGUGAAAUGCGUAGAUAUCUGGAGGAACACCGGUGGCGAAGGCGGCAUCCUGGACCAACACUGACGCUGAGGAGCGAAAGCCAGGGGAGCAAACGGG